UUUAAACCAAAAUGGUGGAACUUUAGCUAAAUAAGCUACUUUAUAAUAUAUUAGCUCUUAAAACUAUUUUUAAGCAAAGAAGCAUAUUAAUCAAAUAUAUUUGAAAUAGAUAAAGUUUAAUGUGUAUGGAUAAAUGCGUUAACUUGCGAAACAGAAUUUAAAAAACUUAUAUAAAAUUUAAGAAUAUGGAAAGCUAUCUAAAAUGAACAUUUAUUCUUCUUUGUAUCUGCUGCUAUUUUUCUUAUUAUACUUGGCAAUAUCUAAUGCAACGGAGAACACUACAGGUGAAGGUUUGCUUCAGAAUAAUUAUUCAACCAGUGAAAAUGUUAUAAAUUUUAAGAAGACAAAUUCUAUAAAAAAUGAAAAUAGUUUAAGAAAACAUGAGAAAUUACUAACAGACUUGAACAAUAUUAAAUUACAAACAAUAGUAAAUGGCCAAAAUGGUACAAAACGGAAUUUAGUAGAUCAUUUUGACCAACUAGAAGUUUCUGAUAUAGGAAAACCAUAUGGUGAUCCUGAUGACUAUCAAAGAAUUGGUGAUGAUAUAUACAUUAUUCGUGGGGAUGAAAGAAAAUCCUCGGUUAGAGAUGUUAAAACAAUUAAGGAAGCUUUACCAGAUACAGAAAAGUCGCUAACAGCGAUUAUUGGACACCUUAACAAAGAAGAUCGAGAACUAUUAAAUGAAAAGAGUAGCAAAAGUCAAGACAUUCUUUCAGAUGAACUUUUUGCAACACAAAAAACUGAUGAAGUUACAUUUUCUCCUAAUAUUGAAAAUAUCUCUGGUCCUGAAUUAAAUUUAUUAGGGGAUCUCCAAUCAAGUUUAAAACAGCAUGACAACAAUACUACACUAACAAUUAACAACAUAUUGGACGAAGAAUCUAAAAGGAAAGAAUUAGAAGACGAGCAAUUAGAAAAAGGUCUUGCUUCUAUAACAAAAGCGGUUGAAAAUCGAGAUAAAGAGUUCAUAAAAAAUGAUCCUUAUGCUGUCGAUCCCAAGAAAGUAAAGGAAAUGUUAACUUCUGCCGGUAUGUUUUUUAAAAAAGAUCAAACUCAAACAUCUGAUGAUCAAAAUUUAAUUGGUAAUGAUGAUGAGGCUGAUCAUCAUCAUGAUGAGAAUUAUGUUAAUCCUGAAAUUGUUGUUGGAGGUAGUCGAAGUCAUGCAAAAAAACGAAGACACAAACAUAAACUUUAUCAUCGUCGCCAUAAAAAACACAAAAGUAGCAACAUAAAUUUAAAACAAGAUAACACUAGAAUAAAACAAUACAACAUGAACCAAGAAUACGAAAAUAAAAUAAAUGACUUGAAAGAAGAGCUCAAAAAGGGUAAGAAAACAGAAUCAAUGCUUCAAGACAACCAAUUGGAUACCGGUUUUUUUAUUGCUGAAGAUAGUGAUAUUGCUAAUUUAAACAGAAGAACUGAAGAUUUUGUUGAUAAAACUGUCAAUGCUACAGUUGUAAAAAUUAUUGUAGCCAGUCAAAAUAAAACAGAGGAUGUAGAAAAUAGAAAAGAAACUAACCAAAAUGUAAAGGAUGAUCUAAAAAAUGCAACUGAGUCUAGCCAGAAUAUAACUGAAUAUGUAAAAAAUGCAACAGAGGCCAACCAGAAUGUAACAAGUAACAAAAGUAAGUUCGAUAAUAAAGGAAAUCAAAGUUUUUUAGAAGUCCAGUUAAACUCAAUUACACCAGACUCUAUGUUCAAAAAUAAAACAUAUUCAACAACAACAGACAAUUUGUUCAAAAAUAAAACAAAUUCAACUCAAAUAAAGCACUCUGCGUAUUUGAGUUUGGAAGAUUUAGAUUCUGAAAGUCUAUACAAUAUUCUGAAGGAUAAAUCUGCUCAAACUAAUGUUGGAAAUUAUUUGAAAAGUUAUAAAACCACACAUGUGGUUGACAUGGAGGGAAAACCUGGAGUGCAAAUUGAUCUCUAUAUAACUGAUAACAAAAGUAAAAAUGAAAAAAAAAAGCGUCGAACUGUUCGAAGCAAAACUAAUACACCUGAAAAAGUUGUUGAAAUGCAAGGCCAAAAGAAGUUCUUCCAACCUACUAUUUAUGACAAUAAUAUCGAAGAUGUUGCUUUGAGUGAUGCAAUGCCUGAUCGACAUACAUUUACUUCAGAAAAUCCUACAACUGCAUCAAGUGAAAAAUUGGACAUUACUGAUCAUAUAGGUAAUGUUCCUAAAAAAAGCAAUGACUUGCAAGAUGAACUUAACAAUGAGGAUUUAAAACACGCUGUAGAAGAUUCCGACUUGAAAGGCUUUGAUGCAAUUAAAAAUGAAAUUGCUCUGCAAGAUGCUAAAACUACUGUGGAUUUUUUUAACCAGCCUAGCUCUGCAAAACUUCUUUCAUCACAUCUUUCUUCGGGAAAUAUAAAUGAUCUGUCACAAGAUAUCAAAGAUGAUAAUGUUAAAAUGGAUGAUGAUCCUCAAAAAGUAAAAAUAAUUCUACACAUUCCUGAAUCUGCCUCAAAAGAAAAAGGGGGAGAUUGGAACACGCAAGAGGCGUUAGAUAUCUUUACAGAGCAAGCUAAAGCUUAUCUAAACGAUGAAGGCGAGAAAAAAGCUGAAGGCUCUUCUUCUAUAAAGUCUGAUUCUGAGGAUGAUGCGACGCUGCUUACAGCCAAAAAAAUAGAAGCUUUAUUAAGAGAAAAUGCUAUAAAAGAAGAAGAAUUAAAAAGAAAUGAAAGAAUUAAGCUUUUUACUGCUCUUCAUAAUGGUAUUGGAAAAAAUGAUAAUGAAAAAGCGCACUUUUUAAAUGUUUUAGAGAAUAGUUAUGCAGGUUCAUCAUCAGAACUUGCAAAUAUUAGUAAGUUUAUAAACUUAGGUACUUUAAAAAAUUCUCAAUCCUCAGAAAAACAAGAUGAUGCAAAUAAAAUGACUAAGGGUGUUACCACAUUUUCUAAUCAAAAACAAUUGCCUAUAUCAUCACCAUUAUUGGAGCUUAUUAAAUCAGAACUCCAUUCUGGUUCUCAUGAAAGUGUUCAUAAAGAAGCUACUUCUCCUUACACUGUUCAGUCAAUGUUUAAUGAUCCGUCUGUCAAAUUAGUAAAUCCUUCUCCUGAUUUACCUACUAAUCCUGCAACUAUAAAGUUUAAUGCCCCUGGAGUAGAAACACCACUUAGAAUAAAUGGAGGAAAAGUUAUCGGUGGAAAUGUGCGUGGAGGUAAUGUUAUUGGAGGUGUGAUAUCUGGGGGAGACUUUUCUGGUGGAGAAAUUCAGGGAGGAAAAAUUGAAGGAGGAACAUUUAAAAAUGGGUUAAUGAUAGAUGGUGUUGUAAAGAAUGGAGUUGUUGAAGGAGGAAAAAUUAAGGGUGGUUUAAUUCUUGGUGGUGAUAUCAAGUCUGGACUAAUAGAAGGUGGGACUGUAAAAGGUGGUAUCAUAGAUGGUGGUACUUUAGUUGAUGGUGUUAUUGAAGGAGGAAUCUUCAAGGGAGGGACUAUACUUGGUGGAAGGUUAGUUGCAGGAGAAAUGGAUGGAGGUGUCCUAAAAAAUGGUACCAUCAGUGGUGGGGUUAUGAAAGGAGGCAUUAUUGAGAGUGGAGUUUUAGAAGGCGGGACAAUGCUAUCAGGAAUAUUGCGUGGUGGCAUUGUUAAGUCUGGAAUAAUUAAUGGGGGGACCAUUGAUAAAGGAGUUAUUGUACAAGAUAAUGCUGAGAUUGGUCCGGGUGUUGAAAUUCAUGAAGGUGUUGUGAAAGGUGGGAAAAUAUCAGUCAAUAUUGUUCCUCAAGUUUCUAGUCCUCCAACACUGCCAAAUCCGGCAACUACAGUGAAAUCUAAUAUGUUUAGCGUAGAGGUUGUAUCAAAACAGUUGGAUGAUCACAAAGAGGAAAAAAAGGAAGUUGUAGACUUUAAAAAACCACCAGAAGUUCACAAUCAUGAAGACACUGAAAAGCCAAAAAAGAAUGUUCCAAUUCCAACAAAAAAACCAAUGGAAACGCAUGUGAAACACAGUAGUGCAGCUCCGACAUUAAGACCAAAACAAUCGUAUAGACCUACAGAAUAUUUGACAAAGUCUAAAUCUACUCAAUCAUAUAGAACUGCUGUGAAGAAAACAAAUCACCCUUCUUUUUCAGGUAAAAAGAAAUUAAUACAAAAAGCACUUUUGUAUAACAAAGAUAAUCCCAAAGAAAGAAAAGAAAUUAACUUAAACAACAUAAAUGAUGUAAAACAGUUGCUAGCCAUUUUAGAAAAAGGUUCAACAAAUAGCGAGAAAAGAAAGGUACAACCCAUUGAAACUUCUAAAAGCGAUGAAUUAAAAAAAAAAGAAGAACUUCUAAAAAAAACUCAGUUAACUAUUCCACGAAUACGAGAAGAGCAAGCAUUUGCACAUUGGAGUCUAACAAAAAUAUCAAAAAAUUUAAUUGAAGGAGAUUUUGGUCCUAGUCUACAUAUUUAUGGAGGAGUGUCAAUACAUAAUGGUCAUGCAAUAUUAGAUGGCAUUCAUGGAUACCUUGAUGCUGGUGACUAUCAAGGAGAAUGUUUUAGCGAUCCAGAAGUGUGUGAAACUGGUUUUACAAUCCAAAUGACAGUCAAAGUUUACAGAGAUAGUGUUUUUAACAAAACAAAACUAUUUUUAUUGGAUUCAGGUGCAACAAGCACAGAUUCAAGAGGAAUAAGUAUAUUUGUUCAGGAUGGUAGAAUUGAAGCAAUGGUAUCCACAAGAGAUACUGUUUGGUGUCUUCGAAAAAUAUUAGAACCCUACAUUGAAAAAUGGAUUUCUCUGACACUUACAUGGAGAAAUGAUAAAGGUUUGUUUCUUUACAUUAACUGUGCCUUAUUUGAUAAAUCUAACUCACAUACACCAAAUGAUUGCGAAAAUUGCCAAAAUUGUCAUAAAACGGAUCGAGCAACACGUAUGUUCUUUGGUCGACCAAAUAAAGGACCACAUUUCAAAGUCACUCAUAUGGCUCUUGGAGAAGUUAGUUUGUAUAAUACCUUUUCUGACAAGCAAGAUGUUGAAAUGAUUUGUGGAGCAAAAAAUAACCAAGAUUUAACAGCUUCCACUAAUAUAUAUCAAUAUACUCCUUCACAAUAUUUGGCUCCACCUCAAUAUAUUGCUCCACCACAAUAUGUUGCUCCCCCACAAUAUAUUGCUUCUCCACAAUAUAUUGCUCCUUCACAAUAUAUGACUUCUUCACAGUAUACACUCCCAUCAAUUCUUCAUAAUCAACCUGUGGAACCUGUUCCACAAACUAAUCCAGUUUUAUAUAAACCACAACCAGCAUUAUUUAUCAGUCCUCCUCAAUAUUCUUCUCAUGUAAAACCUUCAAAAAUCGAUAAUCCUCCAGAGUGGUUAAAACCAACUUUGAAAAAAAAGAAUCACAAGAACUAUGAAUCAAGAAUGUUAAAUCCUUGGCCAACACCAGCUAAUCUAAUCCCUGUAAAAAAGACAACAUUAUCAGCAGUUAAACAUCCUUUAAUUGAUUAUAAUGCAGAUAGAAGAUCAUUUUCAAGAUUAGAUCACCAUAAAAUAGAUGGAGGAUAUUCACAAUGGUCUGGAUGGUCUGAAUGCUCACAAACAUGUGGAGAGGGUUUACAAACAAAUAUGCGUUAUUGCAAUCAGCCUAUUCCAAUGAAUGGAGGAAGAUCUUGUGAUCAUCGUGGACCUGAUCAUAAAAUUCGUAUCUGUAUGAAUCCAUACUGUCCAGGUAAAAAAAAAAGAAUCUGUUCCAGUUAUGAGACUUGAGUAUGGAACCAAAAAAUCAAGUGUUCCGUUUAAAAGUGAAGAGACAAUGGUGAUUGUGGAUGGAGAAAAGCAAUCAUUCGAUCAAUUGGAAACAGCAUUUGAGCAGCUAAAGCAUUGACCAUAAGAAUUAUCUGGAAACAGCUUUUUUGGCACCUAAAGCAUCGAUCACAAGGAAUAUCGGAAAUUACUUGGAGCAAAUAAAACAUUGGCUAAAAGAAGGAUCACGGGUUUUUGAAGAGAAAAAACAUUACAGAAGUAUCACAUCAAUGAAUUUUUAAAGUUCUAUAUUGGAAAAUAUAUGGGAUUUUCAAAAUAUUUAGUUGUUUCACAGAAAAUUACCAGAAUGAUAUAAAAGCAUAUUAACACUUUGUACGCUAUAUGAAUACUGUUUAUCAAUUUUGUAGAGUAUUGCUUCAGAUUUGACAACAUUUUUAUGUUAAUCAAGACUGAAAUUCUCAGUUCUAUUUCAUCAGAUAAAAUUAUUUUGAACUAUAUCAGUUUCUAAUCGGACUUUUUAAUAUGCAACUCUGAACUAUUUUAUAUACUAUUAAAUUUCUAUUUCUUAUUGGGACGUCCAUAGGCAUCAUUAUCACCCCUCUACCCUUCAUUAACAACUGUCAGUUUUUUAAUAACAAAACUUAAAUAUGCAAAAACAAAUUGACGUAACUUGAUGUCAAUUUAUUGAAUAGUGUCAGUAACAGUCAUUUUUCUUCCCGCUUCCGCCCUUUUUUUUAUUUAAUUAGUUUAUGGGCGUCUCCAUGCCAUUUUUAUACCAUAUUUCUAUAAUUUUUUUAAAGUUAAAAAGGAAUAAUUUUUUAAUUAAAGUUAAAAAAGUUAGAAGUUUUUAAAAAUGUUACGGAUUUUUAAUAUUGCAAUUCAAAUUAGAAUAGCAUUAAACGCACGCUUCAUGUUACAUUAAACUCACGUUACUUGUUAAACCCGAAUGCGAUUGUAUUUAAGUAGAAAUUUAAACUAGUGUUUUUCGUAAUGCUUUUUUAAACUAUCAUUGUUUUUUAAAAUAAUUGUAUUUUA
This is a non-coding RNA of Hydra vulgaris (swiftwater hydra), 6712 nucleotides long. The record is from RefSeq and is a predicted model, not a curated record. Lineage: Eukaryota; Metazoa; Cnidaria; Hydrozoa; Anthoathecata; Hydridae.